AGGGUGUCUGGGAGGCUAAUUAAUCGGCGUUUUGUUUUAUUAUGCGGAGAAUUUUAGUUUGGCAGUAUUUUUGUGUUUCUUUGCAAAACUGCUGGGAGUUUCAUUUCAAACUUUUUAUUUUUUCUGGACUUUCACUCUUGCCAUUUAGCUCUCCCGUACUACGUGUGUUUUUGUAUUGUUCAUACAUCGCGGAAGGAAUGUUUUUUUCUUUUUGUUAUUAGAUCCAAAGGCACACAAGCAAACAUUUGAACUUGGGGAAAAAGAGGCGCAAUGAAUCGGCAUUCUGACAGAGCCCGGAGCUUGGGCUGGCCUAAAAUAACCACCUUGCUGCUUAGGUUGAAUCGCCAUCUUCUGAGGACUGAAGAACAUCAUGAGGAAAUGACUGUAGAUGAAACUGGUGGACCAUCUGGUUCCCUGUGGUUGGAGGCAUGGCAUUGCAAACACAAAAACAAGCAGCUGCCAGCAAAGUGCUUGUCACACAUACGGCUGGCGCAGAGCUAAUAGAACAGAGGCCUCGGGGUGGUGUCAGCAUGUCUAAACUUACCGCCAUUGCCUUGGUGAUCAGCAACCGUAUGCCUGCUCCCAGAGACAAGUCACGUCACUCUCUCAUUCAUCAGGACCCUCAGCACCACCUCGGACUCGGCAGUCUUGGGAUUCGCCUCUCGGUUUGUUUGCAGACGACCGGGGAGAGUGAUCAAAUGUUUGCCUUUCAGAUUACCAUGCAAAGUCUGGCUGGGAAAGUGCAAAUACCUCAGAGAUGGAAUGCAUGUCAACAUGGUGUCUAUAUGUAGACGUUUUGUUCUAGACAAAUGCUUUAAACACCUUUUACACUUUUUUUUUUUGUUUGAUGUUG
Long non-coding RNA from Anguilla anguilla (European eel), 853 nucleotides. RefSeq lists it as uncharacterized. The transcript has 4 exons. Lineage: Eukaryota; Metazoa; Chordata; Actinopteri; Anguilliformes; Anguillidae. The record is from RefSeq and is a predicted model, not a curated record.